This is an RNA transcript of Alligator mississippiensis (American alligator), 272 nucleotides long. RefSeq lists it as uncharacterized. The record is from RefSeq and is a predicted model, not a curated record. The transcript has 3 exons. Lineage: Eukaryota; Metazoa; Chordata; Crocodylia; Alligatoridae.
GCAGAAGUGCACAGACACACGCACAGACACACACACAUAUGUUCUCACAGGGUGAGUGCAAAUUUGUUCAGUCUUUACCUGGGAAAGCUGCAUUGAGUCUUUAGUCCCUGCAAAGCUUCUUUACCAGCAGAAUCACCCAGGUGGACUCCUGAGUCACUGGCCAGCCCAGAGGACAGUGCUGGAUAGGCAAGCAGCACAGAGGAGGUGACAGCUGACACCAUUAUGGGCAGAAAAGCAAGUUCAGAACAGAAAUUUCAGGAAGUGGCAAAAGG